CAUGCCGCGUGUGUGAAGAAGGUCUUCGGAUUGUAAAGCACUUUAAGUUGGGAGGAAGGGCAGUAAGUUAAUACCUUGCUGUUUUGACGUUACCGACAGAAUAAGCACCGGCUAACUCUGUGCCAGCCCCCGCGGUGACUGAGCGGGCUGGCAAGGCGCAUA
RNAcentral lists this ribosomal RNA (162 nucleotides) under uncultured bacterium. RNAcentral's name for it is "partial 16S ribosomal RNA". It matches the Rfam family "Bacterial small subunit ribosomal RNA", at positions 393 to 539 of the family's 1533-position model. The record is from RNAcentral.